GGGAGGUAGUGACAAUAAAUAACAAUACAGGGUUCUUUUGGAUCUUGUAAUUGGAAUGAGUACAAUUUAAAUCUCUUAACGAGGAACAAUUGGAGGGCAAGUCUGGUGCCAGCAGCCGCGGUAAUUCCAGCUCCAAUAGCGUAUAUUAAAGUUGUUGCAGUUAAAAAGCUCGUAGUUGAAUUUCGGGAUCAAUAUAUCGGUCGUGCCAUCGGUACGUACUGGUAUGAUUGGUUUCUCCUUUCUGACGAACCAUGAUGUCAUUAAUUUGGUGUCAUGGGAAGUUAGGACUGUUACUUUGAAAAAUUAGAGUGUUUAAAGCAGGCUUUAGCUUGAAUACAUUAGCAUGGAAUAAUGAAAUAGGACGUUCGAACCUAUUUUGUUGGUUUCUAGGAUCAACGUAAUGAUUAAUAGGGAUAGUUGGG
This 422-nucleotide ribosomal RNA is filed under the name uncultured Glomeraceae. Its description in RNAcentral is "SSU rRNA". It matches the Rfam family "Eukaryotic small subunit ribosomal RNA", at positions 459 to 886 of the family's 1831-position model. Lineage: Eukaryota; Fungi; Glomeromycota; Glomeromycetes; Glomerales; Glomeraceae. The record is from RNAcentral.